RNAcentral lists this ribosomal RNA (480 nucleotides) under uncultured bacterium. RNAcentral describes it as "bacterial SSU rRNA". It matches the Rfam family "Bacterial small subunit ribosomal RNA", at positions 29 to 506 of the family's 1533-position model. The record is from RNAcentral.
UUGAACGCUGGCGGCAUGCCUUACACAUGCAAGUCGAACGGUAACGCGGGGCAACCUGGCGACGAGUGGCGAACGGGUGAGUAAAGCAUCGGAACGUGCCCAGUAGUGGGGGAUAGCCCGGCGAAAGCCGGAUUAAUACCGCAUACGACCUACGGGUGAAAGGGGGGGAUCGCAAGACCUCUCGCUAUUGGAGCGGCCGAUGUCAGAUUAGCUAGUUGGUGGGGUAAAGGCCUACCAAGGCGACGAUCUGUAGCUGGUCUGAGAGGACGACCAGCCACACUGGGACUGAGACACGGCCCAGACUCCUACGGGAGGCAGCAGUGGGGAAUUUUGGACAAUGGACGAAAGUCUGAUCCAGCCAUGCCGCGUGCGGGAAGAAGGCCUUCGGGUUGUAAACCGCUUUUGUCAGGGAAGAAAUCUUCUGGGUUAAUACCUCGGGAGGAUGACGGUACCUGAAGAAUAAGCACCGGCUAACUACGU